GACGAACGCUGGCGGCGUGCUUAACACAUGCAAGUCGAACGGUGAAAGCGGAGCUUGCUCCGCUGGAUCAGUGGCGAACGGGUGAGUAACACGUGGGCAACCUGCCCCUCACUUCGGGAUAACUCCGGGAAACCGGGGCUAAUACCGGAUAUGACCUCCUUGGGCAUCCUUGGAGGUGGAAAGUUUUUCGGUGAGGGAUGGGCCCGCGGCCUAUCAGCUUGUUGGUGAGGUAGUGGCUCACCAAGGCGACGACGGGUAGCCGGCCUGAGAGGGCGACCGGCCACACUGGGACUGAGACACGGCCCAGACUCCUACGGGAGGCAGCAGUGGGGAAUAUUGCGCAAUGGGCGAAAGCCUGACGCAGCAACGCCGCGUGCGGGAUGACGGCCUUCGGGUUGUAAACCGCUUUCAGCAGGGAAGAAGCCGCAAGGUGACGGUACCUGCAGAAGAAGCUCCGGCUAACUACGUGCCAGCAGCCGCGGUAA
Molecule: ribosomal RNA, 485 nt
Filed under: uncultured bacterium
Lineage: Bacteria
Description: partial 16S ribosomal RNA
Rfam family: Bacterial small subunit ribosomal RNA
Source: RNAcentral